AUACGGAGGAUGCGAGCGUUAUCCGGAUUUAUUGGGUUUAAAGGGAGCGCAGACGGGUCGUUAAGUCAGCUGUGAAAGUUUGGGGCUCAACCUUAAAAUUGCAGUUGAUACUGGCGUCCUUGAGUGCGGUUGAGGUGUGCGGAAUUCGUGGUGUAGCGGUGAAAUGCUUAGAUAUCACGAAGAACUCCGAUUGCGAAGACAGCACACUAAUCCGUAACUGACGUUCAUGCUCGAAAGUGUGGGUAUCAAACAGGAUUAGAUACCCUGGUAGUCCACACGGUAAACGAUGGAUACUCGCUGUUGGCGAUAUACUGUCAGCGGCUUAGCGAAAGCGUUAAGUAUCCCACCUGGGGAGUACGCCGGCAACGGUGAAACUCAAAGGAAUUGACGGGGGCCCGCACAAGCGGAGGAACAUGUGGUUUAAUUCGAUGAUACGCGAGGAACCUUACCCGGGCUUAAAUUGCAAAGGAAUAAUCUGGAAACAGAUUAGUCUUCGGACCUUUGUGAAGGUGCUGCAUGGUUGUCGUCAGCUCGUGCCGUGAGGUGUCGGCUUAAGUGCCAUAACGAGCGCAACCCUCGCCGCCAGUUACUAGCAGGUAAUGCUGAGGACUCUGGCGGGACUGCCAUCGUAAGAUGUGAGGAAGGUGGGGAUGACGUCAAAUCAGCACGGCCCUUACGUCCGGGGCUACACACGUGUUACAAUGGGCGGUACAGAAGGCAGCUACCUGGCGACAGGAUGCCAAUCCCUAAAGCCGCUCUCAGUUCGGACUGGAGUCUGCAACCCGACUCCACGAAGCUGGAUUCGCUAGUAAUCGCGCAUCAGCCACGGCGCGGUGAAUACGUUCCCGGGCCUUGUACACACCGCCCGUCAAGCCAUGAAAGCCGGGGGUACCUGAAGUGCGUAACCGCAAGGAGCGCCCUAGGGUAAAACCGGUAAUUGGGGCU
RNAcentral lists this ribosomal RNA (945 nucleotides) under uncultured bacterium. RNAcentral's name for it is "bacterial SSU rRNA". It matches the Rfam family "Bacterial small subunit ribosomal RNA", at positions 523 to 1482 of the family's 1533-position model. The record is from RNAcentral.